GAUGAAGAACGCAGCGAAUUGCGAUAUGUAAUGUGAAUUGCAGAAUUCAGUGAAUCAUCGAAUCUUUGAACGCACAUUGCACCCUCUGGUAUUCCGGAGGGUAUGCCUGUUUGAGUGUCAUGAAUAUGUCAACGCAGACCAGUCUUGCAUGACUCGCACUGCUGCUUGGACGUUGAAGGCUUGCUGGCGUUGAAAUAAUACGUCUGCUCCUUUUAAAUUCAUGAGCAAGGGGAACUAUGCAGCACCGGCUUCAGUUUGAUAAGAUUGAACUGUGCCCUACUGCCCGUGUGCCCAUGCUUCUAAUCGUCCCGAGAAUCCGGGACUGUCUCGAUCGAGGCAUUCGCUUUUGACCACUUGGCCUCAAAUCAGGUAGGACUACCCGCUGAACUUAAGCAUAUCAAUAAGCGGAGGA
RNAcentral lists this unclassified non-coding RNA (412 nucleotides) under soil metagenome. RNAcentral's name for it is "partial contains 5.8S ribosomal RNA, internal transcribed spacer 2, and large subunit ribosomal RNA". The stretch from base 1 to 120 matches the Rfam family "5.8S ribosomal RNA", at positions 35 to 154 of the family's 154-position model. The record is from RNAcentral.